This 466-nucleotide ribosomal RNA is filed under the name uncultured bacterium. Its description in RNAcentral is "partial 16S ribosomal RNA". It matches the Rfam family "Bacterial small subunit ribosomal RNA", at positions 28 to 507 of the family's 1533-position model. The record is from RNAcentral.
GAUGAACGCUGGCGGCGUGCUUAACACAUGCAAGUCGAACGGAAAGGCUCCUGCUUGCAGGGGUACUCGAGUGGCGAACGGGUGAGUAACACGUGGGUGAUCUGCCCUGCACUUCGGGAUAAGCCUGGGAAACUGGGUCUAAUACCGGAUAGGACGAUGGUUUGGAUGCCAUUGUGGAAAGUUUUUUCGGUGUGGGAUGAGCUCGCGGCCUAUCAGCUUGUUGGUGGGGUAAUGGCCUACCAAGGCGUCGACGGGUAGCCGGCCUGAGAGGGGGUACGGCCACAUUGGGCCUGAGAUGCGGCCCAGACUCCUACGGGAGGCAGCAGUGGGGAAUAUUGCACAAUGGGCGGAAGCCUGAUGCAGCGACGCCGCGUGGGGGAUGACGGCCUUCGGUUUGUAUACUCCUUUCGCUAGGGACGAAGCGCAAGUGACGGUACCUGGAGAAGAAGCACCGGCUAACUACGUG